This 1292-nucleotide long non-coding RNA is filed under the name Numida meleagris (helmeted guineafowl). RNAcentral's name for it is "lncRNA (ENSNMEG00000005460.1)". The record is from RNAcentral. Lineage: Eukaryota; Metazoa; Chordata; Aves; Galliformes; Numididae.
AUGACGCUACAUUUUUCUCAAAUAUAUAGUAAGAUUUCUUCUUUCUUUCAUAACACAUACCCCUUCUACAGCUCUGUCAGUAUUCCUCGCCUAUUACAACUCAUCUCAGCAGCUCCUUCAGGCCACCACAGCUGUUACACCUUGCUGAACUACACAUUGCAGAGCACAGUCCUGACACAACAGGCUGUGAAAGGGAAAACAGAGAUGAAGAGCCACAUUUUCCUUCAUGCACGCAGAUCCCCCCUUGGCAUGUUUGUGACUUUUCACAAACAUUGCAGUCUAGAAGUCUGGUGCCAGCUAACUGCCUUGUGUCAUUUUUUUCAAUGACAAGAAUGUGCGCACAUGUGUUUCCUGCUUGAGGUGAGGUUCAUAUUUACAGGAUAUGGAAAGUUAGCAUGACAUAAGUAAUGACUGUGUAGAAGGAAAUCCACUUUCGUUAACAGCCAUCCUAUUUAUUCUACUUAUUCUGCUGUCACCUUGCAUGAUACCCUCCAUAUCAUUUCAGACAGACACCAAAGUAAUUUUGGUGAAAGCUUCCUGCAAAGAAGAUGGAAAUUUUGACUAAAACAAAUACUUAAAAAAAAAAAAAAAAAAAGCAACCACAAGAGCAAAAGAGAUAUGUGCUGAGUUUAUCCUAGAAAGAAAUAUAUAUCACUUCAAUCCUUUCCACAUCUAUCCCCAUUCAGUUCCUACUGCAUCCGUUGGUCACAUACAAAGUUGACCCAGGCAGAUGAUACUGAAUUAUUUGUUUAAAUUAAGAAAAAAAGUUGCAACAACGCUUCUUUUUUUUUGUUGUUUUACUCACUGCAUUUUACUCUCUGAGAGACCGGUCUGCUUUCAAAAACUGCUUUCCAAAAUCUUUUAAUUGUGGCUGAAGCUUAAUUCUUCUGGCAGUGGCUGAGGAAGGACUCCCAGUCAGCAGAAAAACAUCCAGAGAGGCAGACUGAGAUUGGACAGUGAUCUACAGCAGUCAUCUACAGGAUUACUGUGGGAUGAAGAAAGAAAGAAGUAAGUUUUUAUUUACAAAUCCCCCCAAAAAGGUCCCAGAGAGCCAGUCGCCAUGUUAGAAAUGCCACAUUCAAGCCAGUGGCUGGAUUCUCAAUGACAGGGGAACCACAGGGCUGGCUGAUACUCUGAGUGAGGACCACAAGAACAGCUCAGUUAAAGGAAAUUGUUUUCUAUGCAUUUAACACAACCAAAAGCCCUCUGCUCUUAAAAGCUGAGUCCCACAUGAUCUCAACACAAAGCGCUGAAAUAAGAAUAAAAAUGAUAAAUUCUCAUUAACUGGUGCA